UUCCCUUCGGGCGAUGCCUGCUGCGCCUGGUGCACCCUGCACCUGAGGCGUGCCUUUGAUAACAGUGCUUGAAUUUAGGUGGAAGUGGAAUCCAAUUUUAAGUAUACAAAAGCAAAAUCGAAUGGAAUUCUUGGAAUGAGUCUAGAUGACAUAUAUUUCCAAUUCCAAGGCAAACUAAUCAUACCCCAAGUCUGCUUGAACUAAUUCUCUAAUAGGGAUGUGAAUAACAUAAUAUACAUAGAAGUAAUUGUAAAAUCAUAUAGAAGUAUAGGGACUGUUCAAGUAAACAUAUGGUGGUUGUGUACAAGAGUCUUAAAUUUUCUUGUUCUGUUGGACUACUUUUCAUUGUGAUUUUGAAAAGAAGAAAACUAGAAGAGCAUGUGAUAUGUUUGAGGUUAUAUGUAGUGACACCUCAAAGAAUACUUAAUUUUUUUGGUCAAAUUCUUACGUCUUCAUAUUUAUUGAAAUCUGGUAGGUGGAGUAAAGAAGGAAGAGAGAGAAGAAAGGGCAGGUUCUACUUAUAUGUCAAUGACAUAGAAUAGGGAAAAUUUACUAUUUUACAACAUAUAUUAAGUAAUAACCUAACCAGUUCAACCUAGUUCUUAGCAGUCCUUCAGCCAGAGAGCAAGUAUCUAUUUUGCUACCUCGUUACACAUGCAAAACAAUUGACUUUUCCUUCAAACUUUGUUGGACGUGUCUCCCAAUGAUCUCCAAAUUUAACAUAGAAAUAAUUUGAAGAGUUCAUGUGGCUUGUCACCAGUGCGUGCCUGUUAUAUAUGAACACACUAUGAAUUUAGUUCAAAACUUGUUGAAAUAUGGAAUAAUUCACUAAUUUUGGUUUGUGUGCAAUGCUAAGUGUUGUACUUUGGGGGUUUCAAGGUUAGUUUGGCCACUUUGAGUUUCAACUUGAUUUGAGUUUUGAUAUUGGAAAUAAUUUUGGGAGAAAUCAAUUCCAUAUAGGCGUGGACAACUAGAAUAUAUGACAGACAUGAUAAAUUCUGGAAAAUAAAUAGGACAGGGAUGGUAUAGGCACACAUUGUUAGUGAAUAUCAAUCUUUAUCCUCAUUCAAGACCUUUUUUAACUUUAAUUCUAUCUUGUAAGCUUAUUCCUUUGUCAAACCCCUCACAAAGGGGAUUACAUGAGAGAAUCAGUAAAAUGAUGCAAAAAUAAAAAUGGAAUUGGAAGUUGUCUUUGCGUGGGGCAACUGAGGAACAACAUGUAUGGGAUUCAAGAAUUUUUUUUUUUUUUAAUGAGAAUUUUUUUAGGUUUAUAUUGGUUAGAGUUGGCAUGAGGUGCUUAAUAUGAUGGCUCUGAACACAUUUACUUGUGGUAAUGAAGGCAAUAGGAGCCUUUCUGCUCAUUAAUGCUGCAGUGCUUUCAGGCUAUGUUUAGAUAGAAUCAAUGGUUGCUUCCUUGCUAUGAAUCCUGUGAUAAAGAAAAAAAAAUACCCAUCAGUUGUCCAAGGGAGAGACACUAAAUGGCCUUUGGAGGUAUAACAGCUAGGGUUUGGCAGUUGGUAUCUAACAUAACAAUACGUAUAAAAUUGAUAAAACGACUGAUGUAUGCAAUAUUCUGACUAUCAUAUUUGAAGUUAAGCAAAUUCUUCUUGCGGUAGAUGUAAACAUCAAAUUUGUUCAUGGUUUACAGGGUUAGCAGGAUGGUAACAAAAG
Molecule: unclassified non-coding RNA, 1671 nt
Filed under: Hevea brasiliensis (rubber tree)
Lineage: Eukaryota; Viridiplantae; Streptophyta; Magnoliopsida; Malpighiales; Euphorbiaceae
Source: RNAcentral